CUUAGAUGAUCGGCUCAAGAUGAACGCUGGCGGCGUGCCUAAUACAUGCAAGUCGAGCGAACGGACGAGAAGCUUGCUUCUCUGAUGUUAGCGGCGGACGGGUGAGUAACACGUGGAUAACCUACCUAUAAGACUGGGAUAACUUCGGGAAACCGGAGCUAAUACCGGAUAAUAUUUUGAACCGCAUGGUUCAAAAGUGAAAGACGGUCUUGCUGUCACUUAUAGAUGGAUCCGCGCUGCAUUAGCUAGUUGGUAAGGUAACGGCUUACCAAGGCAACGAUGCAUAGCCGACCUGAGAGGGUGAUCGGCCACACUGGAACUGAGACACGGUCCAGACUCCUACGGGAGGCAGCAGUAGGGAAUCUUCCGCAAUGGGCGAAAGCCUGACGGAGCAACGCCGCGUGAGUGAUGAAGGUCUUCGGAUCGUAAAACUCUGUUAUUAGGGAAGAACAUAUGUGUAAGUAACUGUGCACAUCUUGACGGUACCUAAUCAGAAAGCCACGGUAACUACGUGCCAGCAGCCGCGGUAAUACGUAGGUGGCAAGCGUUAUCCGGAAUNAUGGGGCGUAAAGCGCGCGUAGGCGGUUUUAAGUCUGAUGUGAAAGCCCAGGNUCAACCGUGGAGGGUCUUGGGAAACUGGAAAACUUGAGUGCGAAGAGGACGUGGAUUCCAUGUGUACGGUGAAUGGCAAAGAUUUGGAGGAACCACCAGUGGCGAAGGCGACUUCCGGGUCUGAAUGACGCUGAUUGUGCGACAGCGUGGGGAUCACACGGAUAGAUACCUGGUAGU
RNAcentral lists this ribosomal RNA (789 nucleotides) under uncultured Staphylococcus sp. Its description in RNAcentral is "bacterial SSU rRNA". It matches the Rfam family "Bacterial small subunit ribosomal RNA", at positions 1 to 794 of the family's 1533-position model. Lineage: Bacteria; Bacillati; Bacillota; Bacilli; Caryophanales; Staphylococcaceae. The record is from RNAcentral.